Molecule: ribosomal RNA, 460 nt
Filed under: uncultured bacterium
Lineage: Bacteria
Description: partial 16S ribosomal RNA
Rfam family: Bacterial small subunit ribosomal RNA
Source: RNAcentral
CCUACGGGGGGCAGCAGUGAGGAAUAUUGGUCAAUGGACGAGAGUCUGAACCAGCCAAGUAGCGUGAAGGAUGACUGCCCUAUGGGUUGUAAACUUCUUUUAUAUGGGAAUAAAAUGUUCCACGUGUGGGAUUUUGUAUGUACCAUAUGACUAAGGAUCGGCUAACUCCGUGCCAGCAGCCGCGGUAAUACGGAGGAUCCGAGCGUUAUCCGGAUUUAUUGGGUUUAAAGGGAGCGUAGGUGGAUUGUUAAGUCAGUUGUGAAAGUUUGCGGGUCAACCGUAAAAUUGCAGUUGAAACUGGCAGGCUUGAGUACAGUAGAGGUGGGCGGAAUUCGUGGUGUAGCGGUGAAAUGCUUAGAUAUCACGAAGAACUCCGAUUGCGAAGGCAGCUCACUGGACUGCAACUGACACUGAGGCUCGAAAGUGUGGGUAUCAAACAGGAUUAGAUACCCCAGUAGUC